UCUGGUGGAUUGUGUGGGAGUGAGAAUGCAGGCAUGAGUAGCGAAUCUGCGGUGAGAAUCCGCAGCGCCGAUUGACUAAGGGUUCCAGGGCCAGGUUUAUCCGCCCUGGGUUAGUCGGGUCCUAAGGCGAGGCCGACAGGCGUAGUCGAUGGAUAACCAGUUGAUAUUCUGGUACCGCCUAGCAACCGUCCAAUACCGAGAUCAUCAUGCUAACCAAUUUUGCCGGCUAAUUUCCGUGCCUUUCGGGGUAUGGUUUGCGGCUGGUCUUGGGACCCGGUGGUGGAGGUAAGCGUAUUAACAGGGGUGACGCAGAAAGGUAGCUGCAGUGGGCUGAUGGUUGAGCCUACUUAAGGUUGUGGCCCGUUUCCUAGGUAAAUCCGGGAGACUUGUGGGUGAGAACUGAUGAGGGACGCUUUUAGAGUGGACUUGUGGUGAUCCUAAGCUGCCGAGAAAAGCCUCGACGCGAGGGGGCAAGGCGCCCGUACCCUAAACCGACUCAGGUGGUCAGGUAGAGUAUACCGAGGCGUUCGAGUGAAUCAUGGUUAAGGAACUCGGCAAAAUUCCUCCGUAACUUCGGGAUAAGGAGGACCCCGUGGUUUCCCAACGCCGUGCGUGUUGGUGGGGCUGUGGGGUCGCAGAGAAUAGGGAGAAGCGACUGUUUAUCAAAAACACAGGUGCGUGCGAAGCCGUAAGGCGAUGUAUACGCACUGACGCCUGCCCGGUGCUGGAAGGUUAAGAGGAACUGUCAACACUCCUUUGGGGUGUGAAGCGGUGAAUUUAAGCCCCAGUAAACGGCGGUGGUAACUAUAACCAUCCUAAGGUAGCGAAAUUCCUUGUCGGGUAAGUUCCGACCUGCACGAAUGGCGUAACGACUUCUCCGCUGUCUCGACCGUGAACUCGGCGAAAUUGCAGUACGAGUAAAGAUGCUCGUUUCGCGCAGAAGGACGGAAAGACCCCGGGACCUUUACUAUAGCUUGGUAUUGGUGUUCGCUUGUGCUUGUGUAGGAUAGGUGGGAGACUGUGAAGCUGCGGCGCCAGCCGUGGUGGAGUCGUCGUUGAAAUACCAUUCUGGUUCAAGCGGUCACCUUAACCUAGACCCGUGAUCCGGGUUGGGGACAGUGCCUGGUGGGUAGUUUAACUGGGGCGGUUGCCUCCUAAAAUGUAACGGAGGCGCUCAAAGGUUCCCUCAGCCUGGUUGGUAAUCAGGUGGCGAGUGCAAGUGUACAAGGGAGCUUGACUGUGAGACCGACGGGUCGAGCAGGUGCGAAAGCAGGAACUAGUGAUCCGGCCAUGGCACGUGGGUGCGUGGUCGCUCAACGGAUAAAAGGUACCCCGGGGAUAACAGGCUGAUCUUGCCCAAGAGUCCAUAUCGACGGGAUGGUUUGGCACCUCGAUGUCGGCUCGUCGCAU
RNAcentral lists this ribosomal RNA (1410 nucleotides) under metagenome. RNAcentral describes it as "bacterial LSU rRNA". It matches the Rfam family "Bacterial large subunit ribosomal RNA", at positions 1269 to 2545 of the family's 2925-position model. The record is from RNAcentral.